UGAGGAAUAUUGGUCAAUGGGCGAGAGCCUGAACCAGCCAAGUAGCGUUCAGGAUGACGGCCCUAUGGGUUGUAAACUGCUUUUAUGUGGGGAUAAAGUGCGUGACGUGUCAUGCAUUGCAGGUACCACAUGAAUAAGGACCGGCUAAUUCCGUGCCAGCAGCCGCGGUAAUACGGAAGGUCCGGGCGUUAUCCGGAUUUAUUGGGUUUAAAGGGAGCGUAGGCUGUCUAUUAAGCGUGUUGUGAAAUUUACCGGCUCAACCGGUGGCUUGCAGCGCGAACUGGUCGACUUGAGUAUGCAGGAAGUAGGCGGAAUUCAUGGUGUAGCGGUGAAAUGCUUAGAUAUCAUGACGAACUCCGAUUGCGCAGGAAGCUUACUGUAGCAUAACUGACGCUGAUGCUCGAAAGUGCGGGUAUCAAACAGG
Molecule: ribosomal RNA, 424 nt
Filed under: Fusobacteriota bacterium
Lineage: Bacteria; Fusobacteriati; Fusobacteriota
Description: Fusobacteria bacterium partial 16S ribosomal RNA
Rfam family: Bacterial small subunit ribosomal RNA
Source: RNAcentral